UACAUGUGGGGCAAGCGUUGUUCGGAAUUACUGGGCAUAAAGGGUGCGUAGGCGGCUUGUUAAGUCAGGGGUGAAAGUUUUCGGCCCAACCGGAAAAUUGCCUUUGAUACUGGCGAGCUUGAGUGCGUGAGGGAUGGGGGGAACGAGCAGUGUAGCGGUGAAAUGCGUAGAGAUCGGGAGGAACACCGGUGGCGAAGGCGGGUCUCUGGGCAAUUCCUGACGCUGAGGCGCGAAAGCGUGGGGAGCAAACGGG
This 253-nucleotide ribosomal RNA is filed under the name uncultured bacterium. Its description in RNAcentral is "partial 16S ribosomal RNA". It matches the Rfam family "Bacterial small subunit ribosomal RNA", at positions 524 to 776 of the family's 1533-position model. The record is from RNAcentral.